RNAcentral lists this long non-coding RNA (758 nucleotides) under Olea europaea subsp. europaea. The record is from RNAcentral. Lineage: Eukaryota; Viridiplantae; Streptophyta; Magnoliopsida; Lamiales; Oleaceae.
UGAAAUCUCAGAGAGUGCAUUUUAAACAACAAAUCUACCAUUUUUACAGUGACUCGAAGUAGAUGCAACUAACAAAGCCCCUCCCUACAAUAAAAAUAACAAGUAAAUGCAAGCUGCAUUUCUGGUCUGAAAUAAUUGAAGAAUUAUGCUUUAAAUAAACAAUCCAUCCAAAACUGCAUAAAUUGAUCUAUGAUUCUCUGCUGUAUUCCCAUGGAUAUCACCCUUUAAUUAGUGGUGAUUUUCUUUCCACUUUGAGAAGUUUCUGAUUGAUUCUGGAAAUUAUGCAGACGAGGUCCAAUGGAGAGAGGCUGCAGCCUAUUGUUCUCCAAGCUUGUUCCUCGGCAUCCUCAUUUUCAGAUAACCAAUGGGGUGGUGGCAGCUCAAAAUCCGCCCGGUCGAGAUCUUGGAAACGUACGGUAACAUUAUGGUAAUCUGCUCCUAACAUUGCCAAAGCUUCAAUUGAGACCGACAUCGGUGAUUAAUUGAAUAAUAAUUGAAGAAUACAUGUAUGCAUAAUUGGGGAGUUAUCAAAAACUUGAAAGAUGGAAUAAAAGAGUUUCCUUAUGAGGGCUCUUGGUUUUAAAUGAGCAUCAGACUUUUCAACUUGAAUUUGGCAGGGGCCGCGCGAACGCAGGCCCCCUCUACCACAAAUUAUGACGUAGGCUCGACCACUUGGGCCGACCUUAGACAGGCGCCCCUCCUAAGUGCAAUGGAGAUCACCAAUCUAGGCCAUGGGCCUUCUUGAUCACCCAUUGACC